GUCAGCUUGUUGGUGACAAUGGGCUACCAAGGCGACACGAAGCCGACCUGGAGGGUGACCGGCCCACUGGGACUGAGACACGCCCAGACUCCUACGGAGGCAGCAGUGGGGAAUAUUGCACAAUGGGCGAAAGCCUGAUGCAGCGACGCCGCGUGAGGAUGACGGCCUUCGGUUGUAAACCUCUUUCAGCAGGACGAACGCAAGUGACGGUACCUGCAGAAGAAGCACCGGCUAACUACGUGCCAGCAGCCGCGGUAAUACGUAGGGUGCAAGCGUUGUCCGAAUUACUGGGCGUAAAGAGUUCGUAGGCGGUUUGUCGCGUCGUUUGUGAAAACCAGCAGCUCAACUGCUGGCUUUGCAGGCGAUACGGCAGACUUGAGUACUGCAGGGAGACUGGAAUUCCUGGUGUAGCGUGAAAUGCGCAGAUAUCAGGAGGAACACCGGUGGCGAAGGCGGGUCUCUGGGCAGUAACUGACGCUGAGGAACGAAAGCGUGGGUAGCGAACAGGAUUAGAUACCCUGGUAUUCCACGCCGUAACACGGUGGGCGCUAGGUGUGGGUUCCUUCCACGAAUCCGUGCCGUAGCUAACGCAUUAAAGCGCCCCCGCCUGGGGAGUACGGCCGCAAGGCUAAAACUCAAAGGAAUUGACGGGGGUGACGCACAAGCCUGGCUGGAACAUGUGGAUUAAUUCGAUGCAACGGAAGAACCUUACCUG
RNAcentral lists this ribosomal RNA (715 nucleotides) under Rhodococcus erythropolis. RNAcentral describes it as "bacterial SSU rRNA". It matches the Rfam family "Bacterial small subunit ribosomal RNA", at positions 240 to 977 of the family's 1533-position model. Lineage: Bacteria; Bacillati; Actinomycetota; Actinomycetes; Mycobacteriales; Nocardiaceae. The record is from RNAcentral.